Camelus dromedarius (Arabian camel) is the source of this 14210-nucleotide RNA transcript. It is a transcript of the gene named cytidine/uridine monophosphate kinase 2, with no coding region annotated. The record is from RefSeq and is a predicted model, not a curated record. NCBI's taxonomy places the organism in Eukaryota, Metazoa, Chordata, Mammalia, Artiodactyla, Camelidae. The transcript has 9 exons.
GACCGGGAGGCGCCCAUGGCCUUUGGCUGCCGCCCGCGCGCCCCGCUGCUGCUCGCGCGUCUCCUGGGACUGCGGCGCGGGGCCUGCGCUCGGGCCAUGGCGCCGCCGCCGCGCUGCUUGGCGCUGGAGCUGCCCGGCUGCAUCCUGGCUCACUUCGCCGUCGGCGUCGAGGCCCCGGGCGCGCGCCCCGACCCCCGUGUGGCCGCGCUCCUGGGCCCCCGGGGCCGCAGCUUCUCGCUGAGCGUGCCGGUGGCUCCGGGCGGGGACUGCGCGGCCCGGGUGCGCGCGGCCCGGCUGCACCAGCGCCUGCUGCACCAGCUGCGCCGCGGCCCCUUCCAGCUGUGCCAGCUGCUCAGGCUGCUGUGCUACCGCCCGGGCGGCGAGGCGGGCGACCUGCAGCACGGCUUCCUGCUCCACGACCCGCGCGACAGCCCCGACACCCGGCGCGCGCUGCUGGCGCUGCUGGACUCCUACCCCGAGGCCCCGCGCCCGCGCCUGGCCGAGUUCGUGGGCGACCCGCUCAGCCAAGUGUGGCGGCGCCCGUGGGAGCUGCGGGACGGCCAGGGGUGGCGGCAGGUGGGCCGCGAGCGCGUCGUGCCCGCGCCAGAGCCCGAGCUGCACCCGGUGGUGCCCGACCUGUCCAGCUCCGGGGUCUUCCCCCACCGGGAGGCCGCCCGCGCCGUUUUGGAGGCGUGUACAUCCUUCAUUCCUGAAGCCCAAGCGGUGCUUGAUCUGGUUGACCAGUGCCCAGAGCAGGUCCAGAAGGGAAGGUUCCCCAUUAUUGUCAUUGAAGGACUGGAUGCCACAGGUAAAACCACGGUGACCCAGUCAGUUUCAGAUUCACUCAAGGCUGUUCUCUUAAAGUCACCACCCUCUUGUAUCAGCCAGUGGAGGAAAAUUUUUGAUGAUGAACCAAAUAUCAUUAGAAGAGCCUUUUACUCUUUGGGCAAUUAUAUCGUGGCUUCUGAAAUAGCUGAAGAAUCUACCACAUCGCCUGUGAUUGUGGACAGGUACUGGCACAGCACGGCCACCUAUGCCAUAGCCACCGAGGUGAGCGGGGGCCUCCAGCACCUGCCCCCCGCCCAUCACCCGAUAUACCAGUGGCCCAGGGACUUGCUCAAGCCCGACCUGGUGCUGCUGCUCACGGUGAGCCCCGAGGAGAGGAUGCAGAGGCUCGAGGGCCGGGGCAUGGAGCGGACCAGAGAGGAGGCGGAACUGGAGACCAACAACGUAUUUCGUCAAAAGGUCGAGGUGUCCUACCAGCGGAUGGAGAACCCUGGCUGCCACGUGGUUGACGCCAGCGCCUCAAGAGAGGAGGUCCUCCAGAUGGUUUUACGCAUAAUCCGUAAUCAUUGUAGUGCGUUGUAGUUACGCCAGGCCGGGCGCCACAUUUGACUAGACGGGGUGCUGUUUGAUCCACCCACAACAGGUUCUGAAAUUUUCCCAGGAUUCAAUUGCAUAAGCGUGUUGUGUGGCAGAAUAUUGGAGACUAGACAUUCCAAUUUUACCUAAAACAUUGUACUUGCUUCUGACCGAUGGACCCGUUAAGACUGAGACUGGGCACCUUCCAGUGAGAGAUGGUGACUGCUUUCUGCCAAGUACAACAAACGUUUUCUUGGAACAUAUUUUUAGCCACAUCCCCAUAAAACCCCUGCAGGGUUUAUCUCCUCUAGAAAGUGUGAGGGAGACAGAAGCAACCAAGAAGACCCUCCAAGUCAGUGGAAGAGUGACCAGCCUCUCCCAUGCCUGCGCCCGCUCACUGAUGACACCUUGAUGUGCCCGCAGUUGACUUCCUGCCAGUUUUGCCUCACUCGGUCUUUGUGAGCUCGGUCCCGCACCUUAGAGCCCAGUGCUCCCAAAGAUUGCGUCUGCGUGUCCCAGCUGCUGGAAGACCCUCCCACUGGCCCAUCUCAUGGGGAGGGGGCACUUACCAAGAAGGCAUCUGACUCGUGUUUGAGACCAGCAGUCCCUGAGAGGGUCCUCUUGGUCAGCGCUUCAAAGUCAAACACAGAGGAGGCCAACUCAGGGUGUUCCAAUCACAGACACACCCACAGUCCUUGAAUUCCGUUCUGAUUAUUUAUACUUCUCUUCUUUCCUCUGAAAACAUGGGUUUGGACAGAGCAAGUGUUUUGCACUAAAGGAGCUGCAUGAAUCGCAGCCAGUCCAGCAGUGUGCUUUUAUUGAUGUUUACAUCUUGUUUGUCCUCAGUGUAGGGGCUGGGCUUCACCAAUCAAAACUGAAGCCAAGAAGCUGACUGCAACGCUUGUUACCAUGUUUUCACUGGACGGAUUUCAUUUCUCCGGCUAAAAAUGGGACGACAAAGCCUAGAUGACAGAGAACCUGUGUACUGGGCAUUUUAAGCCCACUGUUGAGACCUAUUGCUCAGGAAGAAAAUUCUUUCAAAAUAUUACUGCUCACUGGCAAUAAACCUGAUCAUCCAAGAUCUCUGAUGUAGAUGGACAAUGAGAUGAAUGCUGUUGUCAUGCCUGCUGCCACAGCUUCCACAUACAUACAUAUACACAUAUAUACAUACACAUAUAUAUAUUCCUUUUCAUAUUCAGCAGUCCAUGGAUCAAGAAGUAAUUUUGACUUCUAAGUCUUAUUAUUUAAGAAAUAUAUUUUAUAAGGUUAUACUGCCAUAGACAGUGAUUCCUUUGAUGGCUGUGGGCAAAGUCAACUGAAAACCUUGUGGAAAGACCUCACCAUUCUCGAUGCCGUUAAGAACGUUAUUGAGUAAAGGGAAGUGGCAACAUACCCACAUUCACAGAAGUUUGGAAGCAGCUGAUCUCAACCCUCAUGGGUGACUUUGAGGGGGUUCAAGACUUCAGUGGAGGAAGUAACUGCACGUGUGGUGGAAACAGCAAGAAAACUAGAAUUACAAGUGGAGCCUGAAGAUGGGACUGAAUUGCUGCAUCUCACGGUGCAGCUUGAAUGGAUGAGGAGUUGCUUCUGAUGGAUGAGCCAAGAAAGUGCUGUUCUGAGAUGUAGUCUCCUCCUGGCGAAGAUGCUGUGAAGAGGGUUGAAAUGAUAAAGCGUUUGGAAUGUGACAUAAACUUAGCUGAUACAGCAGCAGCAGCGUUUGAGAGGAUGGACUCCCAUUUUGAACGAAGUUCUGCUGUGAGUGUAACACUGUCAAACAGCGCUGCCUGCUGCAGAGAUGUCCUCUGUGAAAGGAAGACUCAAUCCCUGCAGCAGACUUCAUUCUUGUCUCAUUUUAAGAAACUUGCACUGCCUCCCAGCCUCCAGCAGCUACCACCCUGAUCAGUCAGCAGCCAUCAACAGACCCUCCACCAGCAAAAAGAUUAGACUCACGGAAGGCCCAGGUGAGGGUGAGUGUUUCUAUUUUUUAGCAAUGAACUUCUUUUAAAUUAAGGUCUGUAUAUUGUUUUUUCAGAUAUAAUGCACACUCAAGAAACGACAAUAUAGCGUAAGCACACUUUUUAUACCACUGGGAAACCGCAGACUUCACGUAACUGGCUUUAUGGUGAUAUCUACUUCAUUGAGGUGUUCUGGAACCGAACCCACAAUAUCUCUAAGGAUGCCAUCAUUUCUCUCAAAGAUCUGGUGUGAGAAUGAAAUUAGAUCCUGUACGAAAGAGGAGCCCCGGUUCUGGCCCAGAAAAGGCACCGAGGUAAGGUUGGCUCCCUUCUUCCUCCAUCUGCCUUGCUGAGCACAUCUUGACGUUCAGACGUCUCUGGGUUCAAAGGGAAACACACCCGUUAGUGUUCACCGCUGAGGCAUUUUGAGCGUGGGCAAACUGAGGCUUCCCAGCUCCGGAAGAUUAUAGACAUAAAUGCUAUUUUCCACGGGAAAGAUCACCGAAACACAGAGCUGAUUUGCCCACGAGUUUAAGUGUGGUGAUGGCAAAUAAAUAAAUAAAUACAUAAAUAAGUAAAUAAAUACAUUUUAAAGUCAAGAACAAUGGCAGCUUAUUAUUUAAUUUCAUUCAUAGACAAAAAUUAAGAGUUAAGGUAACUUUUGUUACCUAAGUCACAUAAGCUUAAGCAUUUACUCUGUCACCCAACAGAAGAGAUCGUAUUUUAUCAAUGAAAAACCUUCAAGGCCUCCUUCCAUUUGUAUUUAAAGAUCAAACACGUUUCCAAGAGAGAAUUACCUCCCUUAGAAAUAGAAGCCAAUAGUCAAUAAUAAUAUUAGCCCCAAGCAUCUGCUAAGAGUCUCACGUGCCGUGUUACACACGUUGUUCACAUUCAGCCUAUGAGUCAACUUCUCUUACAGUCUGAGGCCUGGUUUGAAGGUACACAACCAGGCGGAGGUCACAGGGCAAGCUAGCGGUGGAGCUGGAAUCAUGCUGUUUGUCUGGCCCAGGAGCUGCUGAGGACCCCCAGCCACUCUGCUUGGAUGCCCAGGGGACAGCAAGCCAGUCCCAGUGACAGUUCAAUCUAAGGAUGUAAACAAAUUGAGACCAAAAGUGAAAACUGAAACCCAAAUAUACCCAGGUUUGUGUAGCUUCCUCUUUACUGUUUACAAAUGGUCCCUUUGUAAGUCAUCUCCGGCCACCCUCUGAGGACUGGGUGAGACUUUGUAUCACUUCACAGAUGGGAGAGGGGACGUCGUAUGACGUCCCCGACUGCCCCAGUUAAUCAGGAGUAGAGACCGGAGCUCCACCUUCCAACUGUAGGUCUCCGUUCUUUCCACUUACCUACCUUUCUAGGAGGAAAGCUUCUGGUCCAGAGUUAGAGGCUUAUUUGCACCUUUACAAUUAUCUUCUAAGCAUCAGCGACUCUAAUAGCGAUUGUGAGUACACAGCUCUUAGAGAAACGCAGACACAAUCCCUUCCAACUGGAGGAGAGAGACAGGUAGUAAACAGAUAAACACACAAAAUGUCAGUGCCAUGGUGGUGUUAGUCCCACAGACAGAAGGAAAAGAUUGGGAGAACCAGGUUGGGGAAAGGGUUGAGAUUUUAAGUUGAGUGGAGCAGAGCUGCUCUGAUAAAGAGAUAUUUGAGCACCUGAAGGAAGUGAGAAAGCCAGCCACGUGGGUAUCAGGAGAGGUGGGUUCUAGGCAGACACAACUGCAGGUGCAAAGGCCCUGAGGUGAUGGGAGGGUGGUUUUUUUUUUUUUUUUUUUUUUGACAUAUAGUCAGUUACAAUGUGUCAAUUUCUGGUGUGCAGCAUAAUGUUUCUGUCAUACAUGUACCUACAUAUAUUCGUUUUCAGAUUAUUUUUCAUUAUGGGUUACUAUAAGGUAUUGAAUAUAGUUCCCUGUGCUCUACAGAAGAAAUUUGGUUUUUAUUUAUUGUAUAUAUAGUAGCUAAUAUUUGCAAAUCUCAAACUCCCAGUUUGGGAGAUUCUUGCUGAGCACAAGGAACAGGAAGGAGGGUACUGGGGCUGCAUCAGCCAGGGUGCAGAUCAGUCUACCACUCCAAGGGUCCUGUCUCCUACCAAGGAGGCUGAGGCCUGGCAAGUUCAGCAAAUCCCGGGCUUUGGUGCUGACCAGCAAGCACGUGGAGGUGGCCGCACCCACGGCAGGCUGAGAAGGAGCCCUGGAGUAGCGGGCAUCAGAAACAAUUCAGGCAGCAAUUAUUCAGUCUCAGAAAAGUCUCUCUGGAAGGACCAGUUCUGUCCUGUAAACGUGAGGAGCAUUCGCUGAGGUCAGGGCCCACGGGGGGCACGUCGGUUACUAGCAUUUGAGGAACACUCAUCAGGAAAUGGCCAUCCUUCUCCACAGACUAAAACCUUCCUGGCAGAGACCACACAUUUUGAUUGUAUUUCCCAGAAGAUCUCAGGUUCUCUGGGUCCAUAUGUAUGAAUUAUCUUGAGUGCGGUCAGACAUCGCCAAGUCACACGAGCCUCCCUAAUUAACAGGGUUCGUAAGUGCUCACUGCGAGUCAGCGCUGCAGAACCAGCUUUUCCUCUGCCUGGCAUUUGUGUAGCUCCCUUUACCACUGCGGACAGUCCGUUAUUUUAUUGUCACGACAAGACUGUGGAGAAGCUGAGUAUGAGAGACAGCGUGUCUUUCUCUCUUUCUCCUUUCUUUCCUUCCUUCCUUCCCUCUUUGAGGAAAUGGAAUGUUAAACAGUGUUUGAUAUGAUAGAAAGAGCUGGAAUCCCAGCGACCCAGGCAGCCUCCUCUGUGUGGUCUGGUCAGACCCCUCCAGACAGGGACAUCGGCACCAGGUCCACCUGCGCUGGCGUGGGGUGGGACAGCUGGGGGCCGUGUCUGGAUCUGCAGACCCUCUGUGGGGUCCCGGUGCCUCCUGAGGACACGGUGGUGAUGGAGGGAGAACUCAGAGACCAGGGUCCAGGCCGGGGAGAGUCAUUAACCAGCUGCGGAAACUUGGGGAAAUCAGUUUCCGUCUCUAGCCUGCCGCUGUCUCAUCUGGAAAGGAGAGACGUUACGUUUCGUUGAUUUAAGCGAUAUUCCUACGGCUCUCAUCUCCUGCUGGCCCUGGUUCUGAGCACUGUACAAACGUUAGCUCGUUUAAUGCUCCAGACCGCCCUCCGAGGUAGGUAAGACUGUCCCCAUUGUACUGAUCAGGAAACGAAGACACAGGAAGGUGAAGCAGCCUACUCAGGCCCAGGCCGGUGCUGGCAGAGCCAGCUGCAAGUCCAAGCAGGCGGGCUUUUACGCUCCCCACCCCCCUGCCUCCCAGGGCGAGGUGUGUAAGUUCCCUCCUCGCUCACGCAUCUGAUGAGUGUGAUUUUAGGCGGUGAGAUUUCAGCCUGUCUGGAACACUCCUGCUCUAAUCCAUUAAAUCAAACUGCACGCGGGCAUUUAUAAUCCUGCCCCCACUUGGGGCAGAGCCCCCAACAGAAGCAACCACUUGCGAGCUGGCCUGGAUGCUGGCUUACACCCAGGGUGGAGAACGCACCUCUGUGUACACUGAUACCCCAGUGAUUCAUGGUUUUAAACUCCUGGAAAACUGUAGGUGCUCACGUAGGUGGGGUGGCUGGUCCUGAGCCCCCCUCUCUUCUCAAGAGUUCACCUGCUCCCCUGAAGGUUCCAGUCACCUCUGCUUGGAUGACCCCAAACUGUCAUUAGGUGAAGUUAGGUUAAGAAGGGGCCACAAGCACCUCUUCUCACCUGCUCCCCCGUUUCCCACCCCCUCCCUGGAGGCUGGAACUUCCCACAGCCCCCCAUACAGAGGUGGGGCCCCCUGUGCGUGACCCCGGAACCCACCCUGAGGCCGCUGGGAUGGGGCUCCCCUCCAGCGCCUGGCUCAUCACCGCUGGAGGGGCCCGUGGAAGCUCCUCUGGGGGACCUCUUGUGCCCUGAGCCAUUGUCUUUCCUACGUGCUCUCAGCCUCUUUCCCCCCCAGCUCGGACUCGAGCUAAACCACCUCCUCAUCUCUCUCUAACUCCAUCUCGGGGGACUCAGGUCCACGGUCAGCGGCCCCUCUGUCCCUGGGGGCCCGGCUGCCUCGCCCCUGCGGUCGUGGCUCUCAGUCCUCGCUGUCCCCGACCUUCCUCCCCCGACGCGACCCUGUGUCUGUCUCCCACUCUCUGUCUGGUGUUUCCUGUCGGUGACCCUGACCCAGGGAGCUGCAGUCCUCCUGUCAGUUACGGGACCAACCUCCCGGAAAACGGCCUCACCCGUUGAGAGCUCUCAUCAAGUCCCUUUUCUUCGUCCACGCAUAAAAGAACUGUCCGUGCGUAUGUCUUCUGGGUUUGGUUUGGUUUUGCUAAAACACAGGGGCACUUACAAUGCAUUUUUUUACACCUUGUUUUUCUGCUUAAAAUUACAUCUUGUAAUUUUUUCACACGAGACCAGAAAUAUCUACUUCCUGCUUUCACGUCUGUAUAGUGUUUUAUUAUAUACACAGAUCAUAAUUUAUUUAACAGAGUCUUGACUGGCGGAUGGUUGCUUCUGGUUAUGAGCUAUGACAACGGAUGCUGCACAUAAAUGCCAGUGAGUUUGCACGUGUGCAUAUGUGCUUAUGAAUACAUGUGUGUUUGCACACGUGUAUACGUGUGUGAGUAUGUGUGUAUGACCUACAUAUGUUCGUGAGUCUCUUUGAGUAUAUUUGUAGAAUAAAUUUGUAGAAUAUUCAUAGAAUAAAUACAUGACAAAGUAACCCCUGAGGUGAGGAAUACAUUCAUUUUAUUCGUUUUUAAUGUAUUAAAAUUGAUUAAUUUAUCAUCCAAAAAAGUUGCGUUGAUUUAGUCAUACCAAAACUGUUUCAUAUUCCCUUUUAAAUUGUUGCAUGUUGGGUGGGUAAACAAUCCCAUCACAUCGUUUUAAUUUGUAUUUUUUAAAUAUGAGUGAGUAUGAGGAUCAGUUCAUAUUUCUAAGCCUUUUGUGUUUCUUUUUCUGUCUGUUUACGUGCGUCGGUGGGUGUUCUGUUGGGUCUUUGUCCUUUUAGGAUUGACUCGUAAACUUUCUUUAUGUAUUUAGGCAUCAGUCUUAUGUCAUAUGCAUUGUAAAUAUUUCCCCAGUUUUGUUUUAUGCUACUUUUUUCCUGAAAAUGUGUUCAACUUUUUAUGUAUUGAAAUCUGUUCCUUAAUGUCUUCUUUCUUUUUUCUUUUCUUUUCUUUUUUUUUUAAGACGUUAUAUAUUUAGAGAAGUUUUUGGUUCCCAGCAAAAUUGAGAGGAAGGUACAGAGGUUUCCCAUAUGGCCCCCCUGCCCCACCUCCAGCGCCCCCUUUAUCAGCAUCCUUCACCAGGUGGUCCAUUUGUUACAACUGAUGUACCUCCAUCAACACAUCAUAAUCACUCCAAGUCCGCGGUCUGCAUCAGGCUCGCUCUUGGUGCUGCACACGCCAUCGGCUUGGGCAGAUGUACAAUAUGAUGUACACACACCAGCGUAGUACCAGAAGGGAUAGUUCCCCUGCCAUAAAAAUCCUCUGUACUCUGCCUACUCCUCUCCACACCUUCCACCCUAACCCCUGGCAAACACUGAUCUUCUUACUGUCUCCACACGUUUGCCUUUUGCAGAACGCCAUGUAGCUGGGCUCAUACAGUGUGCAGUCUUUCCACACUGGCUCCUUUCACUUGGUAACAUGCACUUCCGUUUCCUCCGUGUCUUUUCAUGGCUUGCUAGCUCAUUUCUUUUUAGUGCUGAGUAAUAUUUCAUUGUCUGGAUACACCACAGUGUAUUUAUCCGUUCACCUACUGAAGGACGUCUGGGUUGCUUCCAAGUUUUUGUGAUGACUAAAGCCGCUAUAAACAUCUGUGCGCUUCCAAUUUUCUUGUUUUGCUUUGAAAGUUUGUCUCAGUUCCAAGAUAAAUUAAAAAAAAAAUUUAGAUCCUAAUUUUCUUCUAGGUUGUGAUUUUACUUUUUGCCCUUAUUCUUUAAUCCAUUUGAAAUUAGUGUUAGAAUAGGUAUUAAUGUGUUUCUUCAGCUGACUUUGGACUUAUUUUGAUGGCCAGGGUUACAUUUUGCUCUUCUUUGAAGUCUAUCUAAGAUGGAACAUAGUAUAUGGCAUAUUUAUGGCACUAAGUACUCUACCUGUUAGCUGCCAUGAUACGUACUUGCUUUAAUGAAUAUUUUGCCGUACCGCUAACAUGUAGGGACCAUUAAUCUAGUAAUAACAGCUACCAAUUAUGUGCUGGGUAGACUCUGCAAAUUUUAACCAUUUUAGAUCCAACAACCUUGUAAGACCUGUUAUACUGUCUCUACUUUAUUGAUAAGAGCAUGGAUGACCUCAAGAUCACACAUCUUCAGAGUGGCAACGCUGGGGCUUGAAUACAAGUUGGUGUAUCUUCAAAACACCAAGAUUCCCCACAUCCACUGCUGCUGCUCUCAGUGGCGAGAGGAGGUGAACGAUGUGUGGAAAUACGGAGUCACCUCUUUCCUGUCCACUAGCUGGAAUUUACAGUUCUCACGGUUCAGUCUUCACAUCAAAUAUUUUAUUGAAUUGGAUUUAAACCUUUUUACCGGCUACUGAGCCCGAUGAGGUAAGACUUAGUAAGUGCUGUGUGUUGGCUUCUGUCCCAGCGCAGCGGCUACAAGCACUUUGCAGUGAUAAUUUCCCCCUAAUUGGUUGUCACUAAUGCACUGCCAUUCUGGAAUUUGUCACUUACCGAAAUGUGCCUUAGCAAAUGGACCGUGCUCUCCACCUAAAUGCACACUGACACACGCUAAAAGCAGCUCGGCGAGAGGCAAGCGGGAUUAAGAAGAAGAAGAUGACUUGCAGGAUAUGCUGGGUGGGCAGUAGGUGACCUAGUGGGUGGCCGCCUUCUGCGAGAUCUCUUUUUGGACGAGGGAGUAUGGCUGGAAGAACGGGGACUGGGGAUCAGGAGACUGGUGGAGAGACGGGGCUGGGCCAAAGUCAGUGUGUGUCCCCAGGGUCGUCUUCCUUCCUCAGAGACCCGUUUUCUCAGAAGCAACAUGGAGAGGCUUGCUUGGAUCUGUCGUUUCAGCCUGUGCUCUGCGGUUACUUGGGGUCAUUGUGAGUAAGAAACGGGAGGGAGCCAGGAGGGGUCUGAGUCCCCUGCGCCAGCUCAACCUCACAGCCUCCUGCUUUGCCCAUUUUCACAUCUUACGUUUCCAUGGUGAACGACAUGCCGACCUUCGGAAGGGAGGCUCCCGCAGGACGGCUCCAGUGACGACAUUCUGAGAUCUUACUCCCCGUAUUCCAUCUCCAGCAGCCCCCAGGGCGCGUGCUCCGAUGAAGGUUAGCAGGGCAAGCACAACGCAGGCUGCACGUGUGGUUUCCCAGCAAAUCCCACCAGCCAAGCCUUUCCAGGAAGCCCUUCCCAAUCAAGCGGAAGUCAGAAGUACGCGAGGGCAACCCCAGAACGCGAGGGCAACCCCAGAACGCGAGGGCCACGCCGCCGCUCAUUCCCUGCCUGGUUCCGGGCGCACCGCUCCACUUCCGGUCUGCACUGGCAUUUCCUGUCCUGGAAAGCCGGCUUCCUGGACCUAAUGGCUCUCCGUCCGUUCAGUCCUGGCCUGGCUCGUACUCAUCAGAAGAAGAGGCGUGGCUUCUUCACCGUGCGUUUUCAGGGACCUUCAGCUUUGUCCUCCAUUUCCAACUCCGAGGCGCCCACGAUGCUGGCCGCCUCGGCAGCCCCCGCAGCGCGGCUCACGGUGCAUUUUGGUUGCCGUUUCGUGACUCAGUGUCGUGAGUUUCUCUCUUCGGACUGUCCUUCUAGAAUCAGCAGGAAGGAGGGAGAAGGUGACCAAGGCAGAAUGGAAGGUGGUUGAGCUUCUCUCUUUUUUUAAAUCUACGCAUGGAGUGAAGAAAUCUGAGUAAGUGUGGAGGGUCAGGGCAAAGGCACUGAGGGAAGGAACAAGAUUGGAGGUUUAAAGAAAGGGCAGAGGGUUGAAGCAACGGCCUUAAAGUGGUGGAGACAGGGAGGGAUCAGAGUUCAGCUAGGAGGUGGGCGGGAGGGGUUCGGCUGGAUGGGAAAGGUGUCCGCUGUGUCCCACUGUUGAAGAUUUAGUAGGAAACGCCCCUCCCUCUCCAGCCCAGGGAAAAGCUGGGGAGGGUGUCCCACGGCAGAACACAGAGCCUGUUUUGAGAGCCACUAACCCAAAGCAAGAAAAUAAUAAAAAAUUUAAAUAAUUUUAAAUGUCCGAAAGAGGGUGCACGAGAAAUUGAUUCAAUGAUAAAUUGUCCUGGAUUUUAAAAUAAGAUAAAGAAAUAUCAGCCUGACACAAUUUAUUUUUUUCUGAGCAAUGAUUUUUUUGUUGUUGUUCCUUCUGUCCCGACAAAAUGGAACAGAGGGGAUGCCUUUCCCAUCCAGCCGGAUCCCUCCAGCAUCCUCUCUCCCCCGCGUUUCUGCAUCAGUGCGUGCGAACAGUCCCCAGGGGGGUUGCACUGUCUGCGCAGCAGCACCUGGGCGGCUCUGAGGUCCUCCACUCUGCAGAGUCCUCUGGGCUCCUUGAAUAUGAACAGGUUGUUUUCUGAACAAACCAUUAGGAAACCUGGGUGGACAAGUUUACUUAUGGGAAAAAGGGGCAGACCAUUUAUAAUUAGGGAGUCUCCUGAGAAAUCCAGAAAUCUGGAUGGAUGGAGCAGAGAAACCUGCCCUCAGGAGGGAAGUGGGCUCCACACUUGGAAAACAGGCCAAGCUUGGCUGCGGGAAGCUCUCUGACAAUGCCAAGGACACGGGCAAGAGGCAAGCUUCCUGCUACGUGCCAGAUUCCGUAGGAGGAGCUUGUGUCUGUUAGCUGGUCUUAAAACCACGGCAUAGAUAUGAUCAUCUUCACGUGGAACUGGAAAUAUCACGUCUCUCUGGGGUGAUUUGCCAAAACACACACGGCCGGCAAAGGGUGCCACGUAAUUCGAACCCAGCUGAGACAAGUUACGAAGGCAGCUCCUGUCCCACAUGCCGGGACAUGUCCGGUCAUCCCGACCCUUCUCCUGGUCCACGUCAUCCCUUCUAGGGACUAUGUGGCCUGAUUCCAAUAAGAAUAAGAUUCAGAUUGCUCAGCCUCAUCACAGCCAGAUCGUUGACUCCUCUUGCCUUUGUCACCUGGGAUCUCAUCUUGAGCUCUGUCUCCAGAUUUCCCUGGCUUUGGGUUUGUGCUUUAUCCUUUCCCUCAACUCUCUCUUAUACCAGAGGACACAUUUGCCUUCUUGGAUCUGAUGCUCUCUGACCGACUUCCAUUAAGGUCUGAGCUCACCCUGGGGGCCUCUGGCUCCUACUGACCCAGCUUGGUCAUGGGACCCAGCCUGUCACUGGACAUCUUGACCCCCUGCACCUGCUCAUCCUCCACCAUCCAGGAUUCUGUGGUGUCAAUGGCAGGUGGGUGCGAAGUGGGAUUCCUCCAGGAGACACCUAGAAGAGGGAGAAGGGAAACUCGGAGCCCCGAGGUGAUGCGCUGGCCGUGGAGUGAGAGGAGAGGAGGUCUGUCACACAAUCCCCCCUGGGUAGCCUUCAGAAGGGUCCUCACUCUUGCUGGGAAGGAGCCUGAGGCAGCUGGGCUGCAGAUUCUGCCUUUACUGGCUGCUGGACCCAGUGUUCCACAUGCUCACCCACUGUCCUAGUCAGAGGAUGUCUGAUAUCUGACCUGCCCUUGUGGGCUGACUGUCCCGGCAGAGCCAGUGAGGUUAUGAAUGGCUCAUGUCAAAUCUGACCUCUGAAUUGCUGACUUCCAGCUUUUGUCAUGUGCUUUGUAGAAGCAGAGAAGACCAGCUAUUUCAGACUAUGCCAAUAAAAUUCCUCAUGGAUUGAAAGAACCACUGGCCUUUUUUGAUUUACAUCAACACACAAUGCUGUUUGUCAAAUGGGCUUGGAGGUUCUCCCUUUGAAAUUCCAAGCUGUAAAUAAGACAGGCAUAUUUGCCUAGGGGGUGCCCGCCUCCCUGCACCCAUUUCGAUAAUGAGUCUAGUAAAAUCAGUGAGGUGGAAACUGAUGGCCUGAGAAGAGUGAGGAAGGGUUUGACUUAACCUUGGCAUAUGUUGGAUCAGGGGCUCUGAGGUGGCGAGGUAGAUAGAGGUGUUCUGAUAGCUGUUUGUAACUAGCUGUUAAGUUACUCUUUUACGAAAAAUACAGGGAGUACCCAUGCUCUCUGUGGCUCCAAAGGGAAGAGCUGAAUCUCAUGUUUGUGCAGUGGAGGGUACACGUUUCAGCUCCCUGUAAGCUCCACUCAGCGAUGGAGAGCUCUGUCUUGAAGUGAGUUACCUACCACUGGACGGUCACAGCACGAGUACAUAAUGGGCUGUUGUGUUUGGAUAACAGGACCCCAAAUGUCACUUUGAGAUCCUAUGACCAUCUUCUAGACACAUUCAACAGAAGCGAAGAGGACAAAAGGCAACGUGUGAGAAGGUAUAUUUCACUUUGUUUCCCCACAAUUUUUAUCAAGGAAAGCAGAACCACUCCGAGUAACAAGAAAACAAAAUUAAAAAUAUAUAUAUAUAAUGAAUAAAUUCAUACCAUAAAUAAAAAUGUAAAGUCUUCUAUAAUCUCAUCACUGUCACAUGACAACUUUUUCAUUGCUCUGUAUUCACAGAAAACAUAAUUUUCAGGGUUUGUGAUUUUUGCACAGUUGUAAUCAUGGUGCAUAGAAGGUUGAAUAAAAAUCAAGUGUUUUGAGCUUCUCUUCAAAUGAUUAGGACUAAAAACACUCUUUAGUUUUACUUCAUGUGGGAAUUAAUACUACUAGAUAGCAUACUAUUUAUUAAUAGAUGUAUAUCAAUCGUAGAAUUUUGUACACACUCUUAUGAAUAAAUAACUUGCUUAUUUCCUGAUGGCAAUUCUUUUUGGUCUCAUGUUACUUACUGCACAUUUUUAUAAACCAGGGGUCCAUGGCCGGGCCUCAGGGGGACUGCAAACCAUUAAAUUACAUAUAAAAUUUUG